GGGAGCAUAGCUCAGCUGGGAGAGCAUCUGCCUUACAAGCAGAGGGUCAUAGGUUCGAACCCUAUUGUUCCCACCA
RNAcentral lists this transfer RNA (76 nucleotides) under Clostridium frigoris. Its description in RNAcentral is "tRNA-Val". It matches the Rfam family "tRNA". From Rfam's summary of the family: Transfer RNA (tRNA) molecules are approximately 80 nucleotides in length. The record is from RNAcentral. Lineage: Bacteria; Bacillati; Bacillota; Clostridia; Eubacteriales; Clostridiaceae. RNAcentral also lists the same sequence under 5 other names.